ACGCUGGCGGCGCGCCUAACACAUGCAAGUCGAACGAGCGAGAGAGAGCUUGCUUUCUCGAGCGAGUGGCGAACGGGUGAGUAACGCGUGAGGAACCUGCCUCAAAGAGGGGGACAACAGUUGGAAACGACUGCUAAUACCGCAUAAGCCCACGGUGCCGCAUGGCACAGAGGGAAAAGGAGCAAUCCGCUUUGAGAUGGCCUCGCGUCUGAUUAGCUAGUUGGUGAGGUAACGGCCCACCAAGGCAACGAUCGGUAGCCGGACUGAGAGGUUGAACGGCCACAUUGGGACUGAGACACGGCCCAGACUCCUACGGGAGGCAGCAGUGGGGAAUAUUGCACAAUGGGGGAAACCCUGAUGCAGCGACGCCGCGUGGAGGAAGAAGGUCUUCGGAUUGUAAACUCCUGUUGUUGAGGAAGAUAAUGACGGUACUCAACAAGGAAGUGACGGCUAACUACGUG
This 461-nucleotide ribosomal RNA is filed under the name uncultured bacterium. RNAcentral's name for it is "bacterial SSU rRNA". It matches the Rfam family "Bacterial small subunit ribosomal RNA", at positions 33 to 507 of the family's 1533-position model. The record is from RNAcentral.